This 404-nucleotide ribosomal RNA is filed under the name Fusobacteriota bacterium. RNAcentral's name for it is "Fusobacteria bacterium partial 16S ribosomal RNA". It matches the Rfam family "Bacterial small subunit ribosomal RNA", at positions 355 to 776 of the family's 1533-position model. The record is from RNAcentral. Lineage: Bacteria; Fusobacteriati; Fusobacteriota.
UGGGGAAUAUUGCACAAUGGAGGGAACUCUGAUGCAGCGACGCCGCGUGAGUGAUGAAGGAAUUCGUUUCGUAAAACUCUGUUCUAUGGGAAGAAAAGGACUGUACCAUAGGAGAAAGCUCCGGCUAAAUACGUGCCAGCAGCCGCGGUAAUACGUAUGGAGCGAGCGUUGUCCGGAAUUAUUGGGCGUAAAGGGUGCGCAGGCGGCUUUACAAGUUGGAUGUGAAAUAUUGUGGCUCAACCACAAACGUGCAUCCAAAACUGCAAAGCUUGAGUUAAGGAGAGGUAAGUGGAAUUCCUGGUGUAGAGGUGGAAUGCGUAGAUAUCAGGAGGAAUACCGGUGGCGAAGGCGACUUACUGGACUUAAACUGACGCUCAGGCACGAAAGCGUGGGGAGCGAACAGG